UACGUAGGGUGCGAGCGUUAAUCGGAAUUACUGGGCGUAAAGCGUGCGCAGGCGGUUUGCUAAGACCGAUGUGAAAUCCCCGGGCUUAACCUGGGAACUGCAUUGGUGACUGGCAGGCUAGAGUAUGGCAGAGGGGGGUAGAAUUCCACGUGUAGCAGUGAAAUGCGUAGAGAUGUGGAGGAAUACCGAUGGCGAAGGCAGCCCCGUGGGCCAAUACUGACGCUCAUGCACGAAAGCGUGGGGAGCAAACAGG
RNAcentral lists this ribosomal RNA (253 nucleotides) under uncultured bacterium. Its description in RNAcentral is "partial 16S ribosomal RNA". It matches the Rfam family "Bacterial small subunit ribosomal RNA", at positions 524 to 776 of the family's 1533-position model. The record is from RNAcentral.